This 84-nucleotide transfer RNA is filed under the name uncultured Niveibacterium sp. It matches the Rfam family "tRNA". From Rfam's summary of the family: Transfer RNA (tRNA) molecules are approximately 80 nucleotides in length. Their secondary structure includes four short double-helical elements and three loops (D, anti-codon, and T loops). The record is from RNAcentral. Lineage: Bacteria; Pseudomonadati; Pseudomonadota; Betaproteobacteria; Rhodocyclales; Rhodocyclaceae.
GAUGGGUGGCAGAGUGGUUGAAUGCACCGGUCUUGAAAACCGGCGGCCCUUCGCGGGGCUCGUGGGUUCGAAUCCCACCCCAUC